Stomoxys calcitrans (stable fly) is the source of this 405-nucleotide long non-coding RNA. RefSeq lists it as uncharacterized. The transcript has 2 exons. NCBI's taxonomy places the organism in Eukaryota, Metazoa, Arthropoda, Insecta, Diptera, Muscidae. The record is from RefSeq and is a predicted model, not a curated record.
UCUUUUUGCCAUUUUCCUCACUAUAAACAGAGUACUACUUUUUCGCCUAUUUUCCUCCAGCGUUUCGCCGACGUUUUUUUAUAUAGAGUUUUACAGCAUUCCACCUGAAAUACUAAACAGAAUACUCAGCUUUAGUGUGCGUAAUAAAAAAAUACAAAUAUGCAUUUAAAAACGAGAAAAAAAUUUGACUCGAUUACCCGGAACGCUUCCGAUUCCGACCUUCCCCGAUAAUCGUUUACAUUUUUGGUAUCACUAAAACUAAAUGUCAAGUGCUUGCGAUUCUCUCCAAAAUCUUAAAAGGAUGUUCUAUUUGAUCCGAUAUUCCUCACAUAAGCAACAAAACAAUGUUCUAAUGAUGAAAAUACAAAUAUAAAAUACAUUUGAAGAAGAUUAUUGUAAAUCAAA